GAUGAACGCUGGCGGCGUGCCUAAUACAUGCAAGUCGAGCGAACGGACGAGAAGCUUGCUUCUCUGACGUUAGCGGCGGACGGGUGAGUAACACGUGGAUAACCUACCUAUAAGACUGGGAUAACUUCGGGAAACCGUAGCUAAUACCGGAUAAUAUUUUGAACCGCAUGGUUCAAUAGUGAAAGACGGUCUUGCUGUCACUUAUAGAUGGAUCCGCGCUGCAUUAGCUAGUUGGUAAGGUAACGGCUUACCAAGGCAACGAUGCAUAGCCGACCUGAGAGGGUGAUCGGCCACACUGGAACUGAGACACGGUCCAGACUCCUACGGGAGGCAGCAGUAGGGAAUCUUCCGCAAUGGGCGAAAGCCUGACGGAGCAACGCCGCGUGAGUGAUGAAGGUCUUCGGAUCGUAAAACUCUGUUAUUAGGGAAGAACAAAUGUGUAAGUAACUGUGCACAUCUUGACGGUACCUAAUCAGAAAGCCACGGCUAACUACGUG
Molecule: ribosomal RNA, 497 nt
Filed under: uncultured bacterium
Lineage: Bacteria
Description: partial 16S ribosomal RNA
Rfam family: Bacterial small subunit ribosomal RNA
Source: RNAcentral